Molecule: long non-coding RNA, 1825 nt
Filed under: Homo sapiens (human)
Lineage: Eukaryota; Metazoa; Chordata; Mammalia; Primates; Hominidae
Description: HSALNT0020887
Source: RNAcentral
UGAUACUGAGUUAGUUCUCACGAGAUCUGAUGGUUUUAUUAGCGGCUUCCCCCUUUGCUGACCACUCAUUCUUUUCCUUUCUGCCACCAUGUGAAGGAGGAUGUGCUUGCUUCCCCUUCUGCCAUGACUGUAAGUUUCCUGAAGUCUCCCCAGACCUGUGGAACGGUAUCACUUCAUUUAAGCAUCGCCAUGUUUGAAGCAGGUAUAUUAUUGUCACUACCAUUCAUGAGGAAAGCAAGGAUUAGAGAGGAUGAGCAUAUCACCCAAGGUUACCCAGCUGGUAGCAGUGUAUGAAAAGUUCCUUCAUUUUCUUGUCAUCACUUUGUGUCCGGAAUUGGUGAGUUCUCGGUCUCACUGACUUCAAGAAUGAAGCCACGGACCCUCACGUUCUGGAACUGAAGAAAUAGAAUAUCCCUGGACACUGAAGGUGGGUGGAGAUGUAGAGGAAAGAGUGUGACAUUGGAGCAUGUGGACCUGACUUACCAACCAUGGCCAGGGAAACAGGAUCCAGAAGACAUAUGGGCACCACCAGUAGACUCAUGACUCAGCCCCUCUUCAGUCUAAUGUUUUAAAAGCACUUGUUCAACCAUACUUAAAGGAGAAGCUGACCAAGGGAAGGACAAAUGACCUCUAGAGCCCACAGUUCAAAUCUGGCCCCACACUUGGCACUCAUGCAUCCAAACAAAGGCUGACAUUUGCCCAAACUGUCCUGUCUUAGAAAGCAGUUUAGCAGGUUCCUUAGAGGUCUCACCUCCCAUCUCCAGUGAUUUUUUUUAAAGUCUCCUGUUCCAAUAGUCUCCCUGAGGUUAAAUAUGUGUAUAUGGGUGUGUACGUACUAGUAUAUAAAUGUCUAUGUAUAUGUGUAUGGUUGUAUCAGAAGUUUAAAAAAUACAGUUCAUUCUCUUUAUUCAUAGCAACUGUGUUCUAUAAAAUUACCAGGAACUUUGAAUUAAUGACUACUGAACCAUUGAUCCUAAGGGAAGGACAGGACUAGGUUCCUUGAAGCCUCUGGUCAUGAUGUUGUCAUCAACUGAUCAAUACAUAGCCUUGUUUUAUGUUGUCUCUGUUUAAAGACACCUUUACUAGAUAUUGUUGACUCAUUAACAUUGAACUCUCGGCCAACAGUGCUGUAACUUAUGCCUGGAUGAAGCUUAUCUAACACAGGUAUUUUCUCUGUAAGGCUCAGAACAGUGUUCUUGCGCUUAGGAACAGUAGCCAGCCCUUCAGCAUUGUAUUUGGGGGGUCAUUUUAAACAGCAAAAUCACCAAAAAACCGCAUAAAAAUGUAAAAACAUGUGAGACUAAAUAGACUGCUAAAAGGACACUUGUUUACAGUAUGAGAGCAGAAAAGCAAGGCAGAGUACCAGUUCAUUGAACCUUUGCUGAAACCACACAUAUGGUGACAAAUAGUUCCUCAUUCUGCACAUGUCUGUGAACGACUGAAAAAAGACCAAGAAAAUGGAUUGAGUUGUACAAAUACAUUUUAGCUAGUAGAUGAAUUCAUGAAUACAAAAAAAACCCAUAAAUAAUGUGGAUCAAUCAUACAGGUAUGUGUAUAUAUUGAUAUUGGGCAAGUUCUCUAAUCUCUUGAAGCCUCAAUUUACCUAACUAUAAAAUAGGAUUCAUAAUACUUCCUUAUAGUGCUAGUGUGAAGGUGAAAUAAAAUAAUCUGUGGAAAGCAUCUGCAGGAUAUGCAAUAAGCUUUUUGAGCCACUGAGGAGGGAGCUAUCACCUUUUCCCAUGCACUCCCCUUCUCUUCAUUUGGCAGCCUCAUUUCUUCAGCAGACCAUCCAUGGUGAGCGGCUCUAACUUUCAAUCUGGCCAGA